Non-coding RNA from Hypoxylon sp. FL1284, 82 nucleotides. NCBI's taxonomy places the organism in Eukaryota, Fungi, Ascomycota, Sordariomycetes, Xylariales, Hypoxylaceae. The record is from the annotation of a GenBank genome assembly.
GGCCGCGUAGUGUAGUGGUUAGCACGCAGGAUUUUGAUAGAAAAAAAUUCCUGAGACCUGAGUUCAAUCCUCGGCGGGGCCU